Molecule: ribosomal RNA, 468 nt
Filed under: uncultured bacterium
Lineage: Bacteria
Description: partial 16S ribosomal RNA
Rfam family: Bacterial small subunit ribosomal RNA
Source: RNAcentral
GACGAACGCUGGCGGCGUGCUUAACACAUGCAAGUCGAACGGAAAGGCCCUGCUUUUGUGGGGUGCUCGAGUGGCGAACGGGUGAGUAACACGUGAGUAACCUGCCCUUGACUUUGGGAUAACUUCAGGAAACUGGGGCUAAUACCGGAUAGGAGCUCCUGCUGCAUGGUGGGGGUUGGAAAGUUUCGGCGGUUGGGGAUGGACUCGCGGCUUAUCAGCUUGUUGGUGGGGUAGUGGCUUACCAAGGCUUUGACGGGUAGCCGGCCUGAGAGGGUGGCCGGCCACCUUGGGCCUGAGGUACGGCCCAGACUCCUACGGUAGGCAGCAGUGGGGAAUAUUGCACAAUGGGCGGAAGCCUGAUGCAGCAACGCCGCGUGCGGGAUGACGGCCUUCGGGUUGUAAACCGCUUUCGCCUGUGACGAAGCGUGAGUGACGGUAAUGGGUAAAGAAGCACCGGCUAACUACGUG